UCCUUGGUGGCUAAGCGGCUAAGACUCUGCACUCCCAGUGCAGGGGCACAGGUUUGAUCCCUGGUCAGGGAA
RNAcentral lists this transfer RNA (72 nucleotides) under Bos indicus x Bos taurus (hybrid cattle). It matches the Rfam family "tRNA". From Rfam's summary of the family: Transfer RNA (tRNA) molecules are approximately 80 nucleotides in length. Their secondary structure includes four short double-helical elements and three loops (D, anti-codon, and T loops). Further hydrogen bonds mediate the characteristic L-shaped molecular structure. tRNAs have two regions of fundamental functional importance: the anti-codon, which is responsible for specific mRNA codon recognition, and the 3' end, to which the tRNAs corresponding amino acid is attached (by aminoacyl-tRNA synthetases). tRNAs cope with the degeneracy of the genetic code in two manners: having more than one tRNA (with a specific anti-codon) for a particular amino acid; and 'wobble' base-pairing, i.e. permitting non-standard base-pairing at the 3rd anti-codon position. The record is from Rfam by way of RNAcentral. Lineage: Eukaryota; Metazoa; Chordata; Mammalia; Artiodactyla; Bovidae.